Molecule: long non-coding RNA, 1561 nt
Organism: Corapipo altera (White-ruffed manakin)
Lineage: Eukaryota; Metazoa; Chordata; Aves; Passeriformes; Pipridae
Exons: 8
Source: RefSeq, a predicted model, not a curated record
GACUUGGGACUAAGUCACUAUAGUGGAACUUGAAGAGUUGUCAUGUUAGCCAAGCAUUUACUUUGAUAAUCCCCUAAAGAUUCAGUUACAUUGUAGUUCUUCAGAUGUGAUAAUUCCACACAAAUGAUCUUUUUGGAGAGACAUCUCAAUAGAAAUAGUUUUCUUGAAGGAGACAGGCAUGGACCAAAAAAAACCACAAGUGUUUGGCGUAGUCUGGGCAGCAUUUGCCGUAUCGUUCGCAGUCGGCAUCGCAGUCACACUCCCGCCCUCUCUGGAAGGCUUCAAAGCACCGUCCUUCACAGGAGAGUCCUGCACGAGGCACAGCAGCACAGUCAGGGUGUUUGCCUACCUCAUGCUGAACGCUGGCACCUUUCUACAGUGAAGCCCUUUGCUCUGGAUGGUGUCAAGAAGAGCCCCAUAAAAUCAGGAUGUGCUUUCUUCCCUCGGUAUUGCAGGAACUGAGGGCCUGGUGUGACCCCUGCUGAAGGUGUGUGGAGCAGAGGUUUGCUCUGAGCCAGCCUGUGGACCAGCAGGAGCAUGUGUUCAGUACCUUGAGAAGACACUUCUUGAAUCAAGGACAGAGAAAGGAGCACCAGGGAUAUGCAAAGUAUGUUCCAUAUGAUCAUUACUUUCAGUGUAUGGGCUAAUUCUGCUGAAUCAUAGCUGGAAGAAAAUCAAAUUUAACUAUAGGAAGAAAAAAAAAUCAUACAAGAUUUGAUUAAUGUGAAGGAUGGCAGAGAAUAAGAAGAAUAGAGAAAAUGAACAUGAGAAAGCAGGAAAUACAGCUGCACUUCAGCAAGUCACUGAGGCUCUUCAGCAAGUCACUGAGGCUCUUCAGCAUCAAUGAAUGUCGGUGAUGAAGGUGUUUGAGGUUUCCAGACUCCAGGGUGGUGCUGAGUGAUGGCCGAUGGUACCGCUGGGUUUUGUCCCCAGUCAGAAUCUCCGCUGAAGCAAAGGCCAGAAGGCCAGAAGGCUGAAGGAGCCAGAAACAAAGCAUGGCCCUGCCCAGCAGCCCUCACCCAUCCACACAUCUGUACAUCCCAGGAUCCCGGCAGGGAUAACUGGAAAUGUGCCAGGCGGCUUCUUUUCAUCCCCCUCGCCCGGCGUGUCCUGUUCGCCCGUGUGCGCCUGCGGAGCAGGCCUUGGAUUGCAGCCCCACCACCUAAUCCGGGGAGUUCAGAGGUUGGGCCGUGCCAAGUUUGUAUUGGCAGCAGCCUUGGAUUGGAGCUGCCAGAACUAGAAAUGCCUCUGAAGUCAAAGGGUAGCAGAGCUCCCCCUCAGACCCCGGGAGCAGAGUCCUGCCUGGAAUUGCCACGCCAGUGGGAGCGCUGACGGCAGCGUUACUCACCAUCCGGCUCUGCUCCUGCUGUCUGGGUCUCACUUGGCAAGGCUGUGCAUCCUGCAUGGAUUCAUUACUGUGCCCACUCCGUAGCUUUUUAACUCAACUGGUGUGAAGGAAAACCAAACCUCAGUGGAUUUCCUCUCUCAGGGGAUGGGCAAGCUGGAUCCCUACAGAGCAGAAGAGAAAUUCAUAACACAGAUCAAGGUCCAAGGAAGAGAA